This 711-nucleotide ribosomal RNA is filed under the name uncultured Gammaproteobacteria bacterium. RNAcentral describes it as "bacterial SSU rRNA". It matches the Rfam family "Bacterial small subunit ribosomal RNA", at positions 53 to 756 of the family's 1533-position model. The record is from RNAcentral. Lineage: Bacteria; Pseudomonadati; Pseudomonadota; Gammaproteobacteria.
ACAUGCAAGUCGAGCGGUAGAAAGUAGCUUGCUACUUUUGAGAGCGGCGGACGGGUGAGUAACGCGUAGGAACCUACCUAAUAGAUUGGGAUAGCCCAGAGAAAUUUGGAUUAAUACCGAAUACGCCCUACGGGGGAAAGCAGGGGAUCUUCGGACCUUGCGCUAUUAGAUGGGCCUGCGUGAGAUUAGCUUGUUGGUGAGGUAAGAGCUCACCAAGGCGACGAUCUCUAGCUGGUCUGAGAGGAUGAUCAGCCACACUGGAACUGAGACACGGUCCAGACUCCUACGGGAGGCAGCAGUGGGGAAUAUUGCACAAUGGGCGAAAGCCUGAUGCAGCCAUGCCGCGUGUGUGAAGAAGGCCUUAGGGUUGUAAAGCACUUUCAGUAGGGAGGAAAGGUUGCGUGUUAAUAGCACGUAGCUGUGACGUUACCUACAGAAGAAGGACCGGCUAACUCCGUGCCAGCAGCCGCGGUAAUACGGAGGGUCCGAGCGUUAAUCGGAAUUACUGGGCGUAAAGCGUACGUAGGUGGUUCGUUAAGUUGGAUGUGAAAGCCCAGGGCUCAACCUUGGAACUGCAUUCAAAACUGGCGAACUAAAGUAUUGGUAGAGGUGAGUUGGAAUUCCCUGUGUAGCGGUGAAAUGCGUAGAGAUGGGGAGGAACAUCAAUGGCGAAGGCGACUCACUGGACCAAUACUUGACACUGAGGUACGA